CUAAGAAGGAGUCAAGGUGUCUGUCUCUAACUUUACCUCCAGUGAGAGAGAGAGAGAGAGAGAAAGAGAGAGACAACAUACCCUCUCCCUCUCUCUAUUUGUCGUUUCCUUACCUGGUGUUAAUUAGUGUUGUACAGGUUCCCGCCCGACGGAGAGAGAGAGAGAGAGAGAGAGAGAGAGAGAGAGAGAGAGAGAGAGAGAGA
Molecule: long non-coding RNA, 203 nt
Organism: Portunus trituberculatus (swimming crab)
Lineage: Eukaryota; Metazoa; Arthropoda; Malacostraca; Decapoda; Portunidae
Exons: 2
Source: RefSeq, a predicted model, not a curated record